RNAcentral lists this ribosomal RNA (608 nucleotides) under uncultured bacterium. Its description in RNAcentral is "bacterial SSU rRNA". It matches the Rfam family "Bacterial small subunit ribosomal RNA", at positions 202 to 827 of the family's 1533-position model. The record is from RNAcentral.
AAAAGGAGCAAUCCGCUGAUAGAUGGGCUUGCGUCUGAUUAGAUAGUUGGUGGGGUAACGGCCUACCAAGUCGACGAUCAGUAGCCGGACUGAGAGGUUGAACGGCCACAUUGGGACUGAGAUACGGCCCAGACUCCUACGGGAGGCAGCAGUCGGGAAUAUUGCGCAAUGGAGGAAACUCUGACGCAGCGACGCCGCGUGCAGGAAGAAGGUUUUCGGAUUGUAAACUGCUUUAGACAGGGAAGAAACAAGACAGUACCUGUAGAAUAAGCUCCGGCUAACUACGUGCCAGCAGCCGCGGUAAUACGUAGGGAGCAAGCGUUAUCCGGAUUUAUUGGGUGUAAAGGGUGCGUAGACGGGAAAACAAGUUAGUUGUGAAAUCCCUCGGCUUAACUGAGGAACUGCAACUAAAACUAUUUUUCUUGAGUGCUGGAGAGGAAAGUGGAAUUCCUAGUGUAGCGGUGAAAUGCGUAGAUAUUAGGAGGAACACCAGUGGCGAAGGCGACUUUCUGGACAGUAACUGACGUUGAGGCACGAAAGUGUGGGGAGCAAACAGGAUUAGAUACCCUGGUAGUCCACACCGUAAACGAUGGAUACUAGGUGUAGGG